AACGAACGCUGGCGGCAGGCCUAACACAUGCAAGUCGAACGCCCUAGCAAUAGGGAGUGGCGCACGGGUGCGUAACGCGUGGGAAUAUGCCCUUCACUGCGGAAUAACGUUUGGAAACGAACGCUAAUACCGCAUAAUGACUCCGGUCCAAAGAUUUAUCGGUGAAGGAUUAGCCCGCGUUAGAUUAGCUAGUUGGUGAGGUAAUGGCUCACCAAGGCGACGAUCUAUAGCUGGUCUGAGAGGAUGAUCAGCCACACUGGGACUGAGACACGGCCCAGACUCCUACGGAGGCAGCAGUGAGGAAUAUUGGACAAUGGGCGCAAGCCUGAUCCAGCCAUGCCGCGUGAGUG
RNAcentral lists this ribosomal RNA (350 nucleotides) under uncultured bacterium. RNAcentral describes it as "bacterial SSU rRNA". It matches the Rfam family "Bacterial small subunit ribosomal RNA", at positions 29 to 407 of the family's 1533-position model. The record is from RNAcentral.